CGCGCUGGCCCCCUUCCGCUUUUAGGGCAUGUUACGAUUUAGUACCAUUUCUUUUUUUUUUAAAUUUCUUCCUGUGAUUUUAUUUUUAUUUCAUUUAAGUCCCUUACAGAAUGGCGCGAUUAGAGGGCCUGGGAUAAUUUCCCAGUUGGUCCCCUUCUUUUGCAAGCAUUCUAUUUGGGUCCCUAUUCGCCUAUUUUAUUUUAACUUAUUACGAUUUAUGCCCUUAAUUUUAUUUUGAUUUCAAUUUAAACCUAAUUUGUUUAGUUUCAUCAUUUAUUUAUUAUUAUUG
Molecule: long non-coding RNA, 289 nt
Filed under: Gossypium raimondii (Peruvian cotton)
Lineage: Eukaryota; Viridiplantae; Streptophyta; Magnoliopsida; Malvales; Malvaceae
Description: long non-coding RNA (GRAI_LNC003958)
Source: RNAcentral